Long non-coding RNA from Corticium candelabrum, 489 nucleotides. RefSeq lists it as uncharacterized. The transcript is spliced from 3 exons. NCBI's taxonomy places the organism in Eukaryota, Metazoa, Porifera, Homoscleromorpha, Homosclerophorida, Plakinidae. The record is from RefSeq and is a predicted model, not a curated record.
ACGACGUAUAUGUUUUAUAGUUCUCGUUGUAGUGUCUCGUUGUGGUGUCUCCUUCAUUCUAUACAGCACCUCUAGGUGUUCCUGACGGGACGGAUCAAGGAGGAGGCGUUCAGGUGUGUGUUUCACUGUGUCGUUUGCGUAGUGACUACUGGGACUUGUCAAUCUAUCGAAUGAAAUUCAAUAUAUUCCGAGUAGGCGUGAGAACACGAUACAUCAAAUGUGCAGAUGAAGCGCGUUCGACAUAGUGCAAACCUGAAAGCUUUAUAGACAUGUGAAAGAGACGGAGCCAUGCACAAGUUUGUAUGACGUCUUUGCGCUUUGCCUGUACUGCUUGGCGACAGCAUUUGUUUAGAUUCCAUGCCUUUAAAGUAUGGCGGACUGUAGAAACAAGCGAGAGAAUAAUUAUUGAUUAAUGGUUGUUUUUACUAAAUAAAGUCCAUGGACUGUAGUAUGUCAUACACAUUGGAGUGGGUCGGAGCUAGCUAAUUA